AACUUUUUGCAAUGGAUCACUUGGCUCUCGCAUCAAUGAAGAACACAGCGAAAUGUGAUGAGUAAUGUGAAUUGCAGAAUCCAGUGAAUCAUCGAAUUUUUGAACGCAUCUUGCGCUCCUUGGCAUUCCAAGGAGCAUGCCUGUUUGAAUGUCAUUAAACUAUCAAAACACUUUUUCUCGAGGUGUUUUGGACUUUGGGAGCACUGUGCUGGUCUCUGUUUGAGCCAGCUCUCCUCAAAAGCAUUAACUUUGAGACCAUCAGUGUGAUAAUUUGUUUGCACUGGCUUCUCUUUUUUAACUGCCCCUUUGACCUCAAAUCAGGUAGGACUACCUGCUGAACUUAAGCAUAUCAAUAAGCGGAGGAU
Molecule: unclassified non-coding RNA, 365 nt
Filed under: uncultured Amanita
Lineage: Eukaryota; Fungi; Basidiomycota; Agaricomycetes; Agaricales; Amanitaceae
Description: sequence contains ITS2
Rfam family: 5.8S ribosomal RNA (bases 1-154)
Source: RNAcentral